This 508-nucleotide ribosomal RNA is filed under the name uncultured bacterium. Its description in RNAcentral is "bacterial SSU rRNA". It matches the Rfam family "Bacterial small subunit ribosomal RNA", at positions 28 to 528 of the family's 1533-position model. The record is from RNAcentral.
GAUGAACGCUAGCGGGAGGCUUAACACAUGCAAGUCGAGGGGCAGCAUAGGGUAGCAAUACUCUGAUGGCGACCGGCAAACGGGUGAGUAACGCGUAUGUAACCUACCCUGUACAGGGGGAUAACCCGGAGAAAUUCGGACUAAUAUCCCAUAACAAUAUCCGGGGGCAUCUUUGGAUAUUUAAAGUUCCGGCGGUACGGGAUGGGCAUGCGUAACAUUAGCUAGUUGGCAAGGUAACGGCUUACCAAGGCUUUGAUGUUUAGGGGUCCUGAGAGGGUGGUCCCCCACACUGGUACUGAGACACAGACCAGACUCCUACGGGAGGCAGCAGUGAGGAAUAUUGGUCAAUGGGCGCAAGCCUGAACCAGCCAUCCCGCGUGCAGGAAGACGGCGCUAUGCGUUGUAAACUGCUUUUCCAGGGAGAGAAACUUGCGCACGUGUUGCGCAAUUGACGGUACCCUGGGAAUAAGCAUCGGCUAACUCCGUGCCAGCAGCCGCGGUAAACUGU